UAGCAGUGUCACAAUAGAAAUUGGUCCC
RNAcentral lists this non-coding RNA (28 nucleotides) under Mus musculus (house mouse). The record is from RNAcentral. Lineage: Eukaryota; Metazoa; Chordata; Mammalia; Rodentia; Muridae.